RNAcentral lists this ribosomal RNA (253 nucleotides) under uncultured bacterium. Its description in RNAcentral is "partial 16S ribosomal RNA". It matches the Rfam family "Bacterial small subunit ribosomal RNA", at positions 524 to 776 of the family's 1533-position model. The record is from RNAcentral.
UACGAAGGGGGCUAGCGUUGCUCGGAAUCACUGGGCGUAAAGCGCACGUAGGCGGCUUUCUAAGUCAGGGGUGAAAUCCUGGAGCUCAACUCCAGAACUGCCUUUGAUACUGGAGAGCUAGGGUCCGGAAGAGGUGAGUGGAACUCCGAGUGUAGAGGUGAAAUUCGUAGAUAUUCGGAAGAACACCAGUGGCGAAGGCGGCUCACUGGUCCGGUACUGACGCUGAGGUGCGAAAGCGUGGGGAGCAAACAGG